This 63-nucleotide transfer RNA is filed under the name Rhipicentor nuttalli. Its description in RNAcentral is "tRNA-Arg". Lineage: Eukaryota; Metazoa; Arthropoda; Arachnida; Ixodida; Ixodidae. The record is from RNAcentral.
AAAAAUAAAGCGAUAUUAAUUGCAUUCAGUUUCGACCUGAACUUAGAAUUUAUUCUAUUUUUC